GUAUCAAUAAGCGGAGGAAAAGAAACUAACAAGGAUUCCCCUAGUAACGGCGAGUGAAGCGGGAACAGCUCAAAUUUGAAAUCUUACAGGGUUACCUGUACGAAUUGUAGUUUAGAGAAACGUUUUCGGAUGAAGAUUGGGCAUAAGUCCUUUGGAACGAGGCAUCAUAGAGGGUGAGAAUCCCGUCUUUGAUCCAAAUCCUUCAUUCAUGUGAUACGUUUUCCACGAGUCGGUUUGUUUGGGAAUGCAGACCAAAAUGGGUGGUAAAUACCAUCUAAAGCUAAAUAUUGGCGAGAGACCGAUAGCGCACAAGUA
RNAcentral lists this ribosomal RNA (315 nucleotides) under uncultured Catenomyces. RNAcentral describes it as "partial large subunit ribosomal RNA". It matches the Rfam family "Eukaryotic large subunit ribosomal RNA", at positions 40 to 350 of the family's 3401-position model. Lineage: Eukaryota; Fungi; Chytridiomycota; Chytridiomycetes. The record is from RNAcentral.